UAGAAUCAUCGUACCUGAGUCCACUCAUUAUGCUGCUACGGGCCUGAUGACAUAGAUUUCAUUGCUGAGUGAUAUUGCAUUGUACAAUCAUCGUACCUGAGUCCACUCAUUAUGCUGCUACGGGCCUGAUGACAUAGAUUUCAUUGCUGAGUGAUAUUGCAUUGUACAAUCAUCGUACCUGAGUCCACUCAUUAUGCUGCUACGGGC
Orcinus orca (killer whale) is the source of this 207-nucleotide long non-coding RNA. RefSeq lists it as uncharacterized. The transcript is spliced from 3 exons. Lineage: Eukaryota; Metazoa; Chordata; Mammalia; Artiodactyla; Delphinidae. The record is from RefSeq and is a predicted model, not a curated record.